CAAAAUAAAGCUCUUAGAGCUAUCCAUUUACACUGGAGGGGGGCUAAUUAAUAGUUAUUUUGA
RNAcentral lists this transfer RNA (63 nucleotides) under Habrophlebiodes zijinensis. Its description in RNAcentral is "tRNA-Val". The record is from RNAcentral. Lineage: Eukaryota; Metazoa; Arthropoda; Insecta; Ephemeroptera; Leptophlebiidae.